Molecule: ribosomal RNA, 447 nt
Filed under: uncultured bacterium
Lineage: Bacteria
Description: bacterial SSU rRNA
Rfam family: Bacterial small subunit ribosomal RNA
Source: RNAcentral
UCGGGAAUUUUGGGCAAUGGGCGAAAGCCUGACCCAGCAACGCCGCGUGAAGGAUGAAGUAUUUCGGUAUGUAAACUUCGAAAGAAUGGGAAGAAUAAAUGACGGUACCAUUUAUAAGCUCCGGCUAACUACGUGCCAGCAGCCGCGGUAAUACGUAGGGAGCAAGCGUUGUUCGGAUUUACUGGGCGUAAAGGGCGCGUAGGCGGCGCGGUAAGUCACUUGUGAAAUCUCUGAGCUUAACUCAGAACGGCCAAGUGAUACUGCAGUGCUAGAGUGCAGAAGGGGCAAUCGGAAUUCUUGGUGUAGCGGUGAAAUGCGUAGAUAUCAAGAGGAACACCUGAGGUGAAGACGGGUUGCUGGGCUGACACUGACGCUGAGGCGCGAAAGCCAGGGGAGCAAACGGGAUUAGAUACCCACGUAGUCCCUGAGCGGGCUGGCAAGGCGCAU